GACGAACGCUGGCGGCGUGCUUAACACAUGCAAGUCGAACGGAAAGGCCCCUUUGGGGGUCCUCGAGUGGCGCACGGGUGAGUAACACGUGAGUAACCUGCCCUUGACUUCGGGAUAACUUCAGGAAACUGGGGCUAAUACCGGAUAGGAAUCCUUGCUGCAUGGUGGGGGUUGGAAAGCUUCGGCGGUUUUGGAUGGACUCGCGGCUUAUCAGCUUGUUGGUGGGGUAGUGGCUUACCAAGGCUUUGACGGGUAGCCGGCCUGAGAGGGCGACCGGCCACAUUGGGACUGAGAUACGGCCCAGACGCCUACGGGAGGCAGCAGUGGGGAAUAUUGCACAAGGGGCGGAAGCCUGAUGCAGCAACGCCGCGGGCGGGAUGACGGCCUUCGGGUUGGAAACCGCUUUCAGCAGGGGCGAAGCUUGUGGUGACGGUACCUGCAGAAGAAGCACCGGCUAACUACGUG
RNAcentral lists this ribosomal RNA (465 nucleotides) under uncultured bacterium. RNAcentral's name for it is "partial 16S ribosomal RNA". It matches the Rfam family "Bacterial small subunit ribosomal RNA", at positions 28 to 507 of the family's 1533-position model. The record is from RNAcentral.